UUGAUGCAAGGUUAAGCAGUAAAUGUGGAGCCGUAGCGAAAGCGAGUCUGAAUAGGGCGUUUAGUAUUUGGUCGUAGACCCGAAACCAGGUGAUCUACCCUUGGUCAGGUUGAAGUUCAGGUAACACUGAAUGGAGGACCGAACCGACUUACGUUGAAAAGUGAGCGGAUGAACUGAGGGUAGCGGAGAAAUUCCAAUCGAACCUGGAGAUAGCUGGUUCUCUCCGAAAUAGCUUUAGGGCUAGCCUCAAGUGAUGAUUAUUGGAGGUAGAGCACUGUUUGGACGAGGGGCCCCUCUCGGGUUACCGAAUUCAGACAAACUCCGAAUGCCAAUUAAUUUAACUUGGGAGUCAGAACAUGGGUGAUAAGGUCCGUGUUCGAAAGGGAAACAGCCCAGACCACCAGCUAAGGUCCCAAAAUAUAUGUUAAGUGGAAAAGGAUGUGGCGUUGCCCAGACAACUAGGAUGUUGGCUUAGAAGCAGCCAUCAUUUAAAGAGUGCGUAAUAGCUCACUAGUCGAGUGACACUGCGCCGAAAAUGUACCGGGGCUAAACAUAUUACCGAAGCUGUGGAUUGUCCUUUGGACAAUGGUAGGAGAGCGUUCUAAGGGCGUUGAAGCAUGAUCGUAAGGACAUGUGGAGCGCUUAGAAGUGAGAAUGCCGGUGUGAGUAGCGAAAGACGGGUGAGAAUCCCGUCCACCGAUUGACUAAGGUUUCCAGAGGAAGGCUCGUCCGCUCUGGGUUAGUCGGGUCCUAAGCUGAGGCCGACAGGCGUAGGCGAUGGAUAACAGGUUGAUAUUCCUGUACCACCUAUAAUCGUUUUAAUCGAUGGGGGGACGCAGUAGGAUAGGCGAAGCGUGCGAUUGGAUUGCACGUCUAAGCAGUAAGGCUGAGUAUUAGGCAAAUCCGGUACUCGUUAAGGCUGAGCUGUGAUGGGGAGAAGACAUUGUGUCUUCGAGUCGUUGAUUUCACACUGCCGAGAAAAGCCUCUAGAUAGAAAAUAGGUGCCCGUACCGCAAACCGACACAGGUAGUCAAGAUGAGAAUUCUAAGGUGAGCGAGCGAACUCUCGUUAAGGAACUCGGCAAAAUGACCCCGUAACUUCGGGAGAAGGGGUGCUCUUUAGGGUUAACGCCCAGAAGAGCCGCAGUGAAUAGGCCCAAGCGACUGUUUAUCAAAAACACAGGUCUCUGCUAAACCGUAAGGUGAUGUAUAGGGGCUGACGCCUGCCCGGUGCUGGAAGGUUAAGAGGAGUGGUUAGCUUCUGCGAAGCUACGAAUCGAAGCCCCAGUAAACGGCGGCCGUAACUAUAACGGUCCUAAGGUAGCGAAAUUCCUUGUCGGGUAAGUUCCGACCCGCACGAAAGGCGUAACGAUUUGGGCACUGUCUCAACGAGAGACUCGGUGAAAUCAUAGUACCUGUGAAGAUGCAGGUUACCCGCGACAGGACGGAAAGACCCCGUGGAGCUUUACUGUAGCCUGAUAUUGAAAUUCGGCACAGCUUGUACAGGAUAGGUAGGAGCCUUUGAAACGUGAGCGCUAGCUUACGUGGAGGCGCUGGUGGGAUACUACCCUAGCUGUGUUGGCUUUCUAACCCGCACCACUUAUCGUGGUGGGAGACAGUGUCAGGCGGGCAGUUUGACUGGGGCGGUCGCCUCCUAAAAGGUAACGGAGGCGCUCAAAGGUUCCCUCAGAAUGGUUGGAAAUCAUUCAUAGAGUGUAAAGGCAUAAGGGAGCUUGACUGCGAGACCUACAAGUCGAGCAGGGUCGAAAGACGGACUUAGUGAUCCGGUGGUUCCGCAUGGAAGGGCCAUCGCUCAACGGAUAAAAGCUACCCCGGGGAUAACAGGCUUAUCUCCCCCAAGAGUUCACAUCGACGGGGAGGUUUGGCACCUCGAUGUCGGCUCAUCGCAUCCUGGGGCUGUAGUCGGUCCCAAGGGUUGGGCUGUUCGCCCAUUAAAGCGGUACGCGAGCUGGGUUCAGAACGUCGUGAGACAGUUCGGUCCCUAUCCGUCGUGGGCGUAGGAAAUUUGAGAGGAGCUGUCCUUAGUACGAGAGGACCGGGAUGGACAUACCUCUGGUGUACCAGUUGUCGUGCCAACGGCAUAGCUGGGUAGCUAUGUGUGGACGGGAUAAGUGCUGAAAGCAUCUAAGCAUGAAGCCCCCCUCAAGAUGAGAUUUCCCAACUUCGGUUAUAAGAUCCCUCAAAGA
RNAcentral lists this ribosomal RNA (2206 nucleotides) under Staphylococcus aureus. RNAcentral describes it as "partial 23S ribosomal RNA". It matches the Rfam family "Bacterial large subunit ribosomal RNA", at positions 635 to 2844 of the family's 2925-position model. Lineage: Bacteria; Bacillati; Bacillota; Bacilli; Caryophanales; Staphylococcaceae. The record is from RNAcentral.